ACUCCUACGGGAGGCAGCAGUGGGAAUAUUGCACAAUGGGCGCAAGCCUGAUGCAGCGACGCCGCGUGAAGGAUGAAGGCUUUCGAGUCGUAAACUUCUGUUAAGUGGGAAGAAAGACCCUUGAGUAAUAUGCAAGGGAGAUGACGGUACCACUAGAGAAAGCACCGGCUAACUUCGUGCCAGCAGCCGCGGUAAUACGAAGGGUGCAAGCGUUAUUCGGACUUACUGGGCGUAAAGAGCCUGUAGGCGGCUUAUUAAGUCUGUUGUUAAAUUACCUGGCCCAACUGGGUACUCGCGACAGAUACUGGUGAGCUAGAGUAUAAGAGAGAGAAGUGGAAUUCUCGGAGUAGCGGUAAAAUGCGUAGAUCUCGAGAGGAACACCGGUAGCGAAGGCGGCUUCUUGGCUUAUAACUGACGCUCAAAUGCGAAAGCGUGGGGAGCAAACAGGAUUAGAUACCCUGGUAGGUCAGU
Molecule: ribosomal RNA, 471 nt
Filed under: uncultured bacterium
Lineage: Bacteria
Description: bacterial SSU rRNA
Rfam family: Bacterial small subunit ribosomal RNA
Source: RNAcentral